UACAGAGGUCUCAAGCGUUGUUCGGAUUCAUUGGGCGUAAAGGGUGCGUAGGCGGCGCGGUAAGUCGGGUGUGAAAUCUCGGGGCUUAACUCCGAAACUGCAUUCGAUACUGCGGUGCUUGAGGACUGGAGAGGAGACUGGAAUUUACGGUGUAGCGGUGAAAUGCGUAGAUAUCGUAAGGAAGACCAGUGGCGAAGGCGGGUCUCUGGACAGUUCCUGACGCUGAGGAACGAAGGUCAGGGGAGCAAACGGG
Molecule: ribosomal RNA, 253 nt
Filed under: uncultured bacterium
Lineage: Bacteria
Description: partial 16S ribosomal RNA
Rfam family: Bacterial small subunit ribosomal RNA
Source: RNAcentral